Molecule: long non-coding RNA, 354 nt
Organism: Lolium perenne
Lineage: Eukaryota; Viridiplantae; Streptophyta; Magnoliopsida; Poales; Poaceae
Source: RefSeq, a predicted model, not a curated record
CCGAUAAUUUUAAUCUUGCCCUCGAAGUUGCAAACCCUGCAUCAAAGGAUGACAUAACUAAAUGGGGUUGCAAGGCUCCCAAAGUUCCAACAAAUCUAGACGAUGCUCUGUCGGGUUAUUUGGUUUUUGAGUUCAUGCAUUCAUGGUACGAUGGAUUGCUACAUUUUCCAGUACCCACGGACGGUUUUCAACUAAGGAAGCGAUUUUUGGUUCACAUCCUGAAGUAUGAAGCAAAUGAAGCUUUAAACAAUAUCCCAGCCAUUGCACGAAGCCUUAUUGAUCGCAUAAAAAAGUGGACCUUCAAGAAAGAACCGUCAUCCGCGAAUAAAUAGAAGAUACAAUGUUGCUUAGUUA